This 245-nucleotide ribosomal RNA is filed under the name uncultured Latescibacterota bacterium. RNAcentral's name for it is "uncultured Latescibacteria bacterium partial 16S ribosomal RNA". It matches the Rfam family "Bacterial small subunit ribosomal RNA", at positions 1138 to 1382 of the family's 1533-position model. The record is from RNAcentral. Lineage: Bacteria; Pseudomonadati; Candidatus Latescibacterota.
CUCUGGGGAGACUGCCGGUGAUAAACCGGAGGAAGGCGGGGAUGACGUCAAGUCCUCAUGGCCCUUACAUCCCGGGCUACACACGUGCUACAAUGGCAGGUACAGAGGGCUGCGAAGCCGCGAGGUGGAGCGAAUCCCAGAAAACCUGUCUCAGUCCGGAUUGAAGUCUGCAACUCGACUUCAUGAAGGCGGAAUCGCUAGUAACCGCGAAUCAGCAGGUCGCGGUGAAUACGUUCCCGGGCCUU